RNAcentral lists this ribosomal RNA (724 nucleotides) under Mammaliicoccus sciuri. Its description in RNAcentral is "bacterial SSU rRNA". It matches the Rfam family "Bacterial small subunit ribosomal RNA", at positions 73 to 781 of the family's 1533-position model. Lineage: Bacteria; Bacillati; Bacillota; Bacilli; Caryophanales; Staphylococcaceae. The record is from RNAcentral.
GAGAAGCUUGCUUCUCUGAUGUUAGCGGCGGACGGGAGAGACGCGUGGGUAACCUACCUAUAAGACUGGGAUAACACCGGGAAACCGGGGCUAAUACCGGAUAAUAUUUUGAACCGCAUGGUUCAAUAGUGAAAGACGGUUUCGGCUGUCACUUAUAGAUGGACCCGCGCCGUAUUAGCUAGUUGGUAAGGUAACGGCUUACCAAGGCGACGAUACGUAGCCGACCUGAGAGGGUGAUCGGCCACACUGGAACUGAGACACGGUCCAGACUCCUACGGGAGGCAGCAGUAGGGAAUCUUCCGCAAUGGGCGAAAGCCUGACGGAGCAACGCCGCGUGAGUGAUGAAGGUCUUCGGAUCGUAAAACUCUGUUGUUAGGGAAGAACAAAUUUGUUAGUAACUGUUUUUUUUCUUGACGGUACCUAACCAGAAAGCCACGGCUAACUACGUGCCAGCAGCCGCGGUAAUACGUAGGUGGCAAGCGUUAUCCGGAAUUAUUGGGCGUAAAGCGCGCGUAGGCGGUUUCUUAAGUCUGAUGUGAAAGCCCACGGCUCAACCGUGGAGGGUCAUUGGAAACUGGGAAACUUGAGUGCAGAAGAGGAGAGUGGAAUUCCAUGUGUAGCGGUGAAAUGCGCAGAGAUAUGGAGGAACACCAGUGGCGAAAGGCGGCUCUCUGGUCUGUAACUGACGCUGAUGUGCGAAAGCGUGGGGAUCAAACAGGAUUAG